Molecule: ribosomal RNA, 493 nt
Filed under: uncultured bacterium
Lineage: Bacteria
Description: partial 16S ribosomal RNA
Rfam family: Bacterial small subunit ribosomal RNA
Source: RNAcentral
AGUGAACGCUGGCGGUAGGCCUAACACAUGCAAGUCGAACGGCAGCACAGUAAGGGCUUGCUCUUACGGGUGGCGAGUGGCGGACGGGUGAGGAAUACAUCGGAAUCUACUUUUUCGUGGGGGAUAACGUAGGGAAACUUACGCUAAUACCGCAUACGACCUACGGGUGAAAGCAGGGGAUCUUCGGACCUUGCGCGAUUGAAUGAGCCGAUGUCGGAUUAGCUAGUUGGCGGGGUAAAGGCCCACCAAGGCGACGAUCCGUAGCUGGUCUGAGAGGAUGAUACAGCAACACUGGAGGUGGAACGCGGCCAGGCCUCCACGGGGAGGCGCGAGGGGGAAUAUUGGAACAUGGGGCCAAAGCCUGACCACCCCAUCCCGGGGGGGGAAAAAGGGCUUUGGGUUGUAAAGGCCUUUUGGUGGGAAAAAAAAACUAGCGGGUAAACACCCCCUUUUCGGGAGGGAACAAAAAAAAAAGGACCGGGUAACUUUGGGC